Molecule: ribosomal RNA, 741 nt
Filed under: uncultured Rhizophagus
Lineage: Eukaryota; Fungi; Glomeromycota; Glomeromycetes; Glomerales; Glomeraceae
Description: SSU rRNA
Rfam family: Eukaryotic small subunit ribosomal RNA
Source: RNAcentral
GGGUACGGGGUGUUAGGGCACGACACCGGAGAGGGAGCCUGAGAAACGGCUACCACAUCCAAGGAUGGCAGCAGGCGCGCAAAUUACCCAAUCCCGACACGGGGAGGUAGUGACAAUAAAUAACAAUACGGGGUUCUUUAGGAUCUCGUAAUUGGAAUGAGUACAAUUUAAAUCUCUUAACGAGGAACCAUUUGGAGGGCAAGUCUGGUGCCAGCAGCCGCGGUAAUUCCAGCUCCAAUAGCGUAUAUUAAAGUUGUUGCAGUUAAAAAGCUCGUAGUUGAAUUUCGGGGUUAGUAGGUUGGUCAUGCCUCUGGUAUGUACUGGUCUCACUGAUUCCUCCUUCCUGAUGAGCCGUAAUGCCAUUAAUUUGGUGUUGCGGGGAAUUUGGACUGUUACUUUGAAAAAAUUAGAGUGUUUAAAGCAAGCUAACGCUUGAAUACAUUAGCAUGGAAUAAUGAAAUAGGACGUUCGAUCCUAUUUUGUUGGUUUCUAGGAUUGACGUAAUGAUUAAUAGGGAUAGUUGGGGGCAUUAAUAUUCAAUUGUCAGAGGUGAAAUUCUUGGAUUUAUUGAAGACUAACUACUGCGAAAGCAUUUGCCAAGGAUGUUUUCAUUAAUCAAGAACGAAAGUUAGGGGAUCGAAGACGAUCAGAUACCGUCGUAGUCUUAACCAUAAACUAUGCCGACUAGGGAUCGGAUGAUGUUAAUUUUUUAAUGACUCAUCGGCGCCUUACGGGAACCUG